RNAcentral lists this ribosomal RNA (440 nucleotides) under uncultured bacterium. RNAcentral's name for it is "partial 16S ribosomal RNA". It matches the Rfam family "Bacterial small subunit ribosomal RNA", at positions 338 to 795 of the family's 1533-position model. The record is from RNAcentral.
CCUACGGGUGACAGCAGUAGGGAAUCUUGCUCAAUGGGGGAAACCCUGAAGCAGCAACGCCGCGUGGAGGAUGAAGGUUUUAGGAUUGUAAACUCCUUUUGUGAGAGAAGAUAAUGACGGUAUCUCACGAAUAAGCACCGGCUAACUUCGUGCCAGCAGCCGAGGUAAUACGGCGGGUGCAAGCGUUACUCGGAAGCACUGGGCGUAAGGUGUGCGCAGGCGGGCUUGUAAGUCAGAUGUGAAAGCCUGUAGCUUAACUACAGAACUGCAUGUGAAACUAUGAGGCUAGAGUGUGGUAGAGGUAGGUGGAAUGCUUGGUGUAGGGGUAAAUUCCGUAGAUAUCAAGAGGAAUACUCAUUGCGAAGGCGACCUACUGGAACAUUACUGACGCUCAUGCACGAAAGCGUGGGGAGCAAACAGGAUUAGAUACCCUUGUAGUC